CUGGAGUUCAAAUCUUAUGAUGGUUGCACCUGUUCCUCCAAAUAUUAGCUUCAAUUUAGAACUAAAAACAUAUAAAAGGCUUCUUGUUGAUCACAGUACUUAAUCAAAUAAAUAAAUGCUGUCAGUUUCAUGAAGCAACUCACUUCAAAAACAAGGGACCCAUGGAGCAGAAAACCUGCGAAUAUCUAGAAUGGCAACAGGAAGCUCCAGCCCAAGACAACAGGACCAUAAAUUAGGAAUAACCAGUUCAGUUAAUAAUAGUGAAAUUUGGCUGCUAUCCCCAACCACCCAAACAGCAAAGCCUACUAAACUUUACUCUACCCUCUGUUACACCUCCGUAUACGUCUUGGAAUCCCAACUUCUACAAGUUGCCGCCACAAGCAAUGAACUUAUUGAAGAACACCUUUAUAUACACUCCCCCUAAAAAAAAAAAGAGUAAACCGCUCGUGUACCUUCUUGAUUCGCCUAAAGUUUGGUCAACUAACUGUAGUUUAGCUCUAUAAACACAAAAAGAAAACCACGAUACAUCAUGUGAAUAUAAGAACACAGAUCUGGUACAGGCACCAAAUGAUUCCUUAAUAAUUUACAUUAAAGAAUGAUACCACAAACAAAAGGAGAUCGGAACCCAACAAAGAAACCAAACAUCACUCGAGAAACAGAAACG
Molecule: unclassified non-coding RNA, 664 nt
Filed under: Hevea brasiliensis (rubber tree)
Lineage: Eukaryota; Viridiplantae; Streptophyta; Magnoliopsida; Malpighiales; Euphorbiaceae
Source: RNAcentral